AGUAAGCCGGACAGUCGCGCUCCAAAGUACUUUGUACCAUGUGAGUGAGGAAAGUCCGGGCUUCGCAGAGCAGGGUGCCGGCUAACGGCCGGCGGAGGCGACUCCAGGACAAGUGCAACAGAAAUAGGUAGCCUGCCUUGGCAGGUCAUAAUGGAAAGGUGGGGUAAGAGCCCACCGCUGUGGUGGUAACAUCAUGGGUCAAUGUAAACUCCGCCCGAAGCAAGACAAACAGAGAUAAUGGGGCUGCUCGUUCCGUCUCGAAAAAGUCGCAUGAUGCCGCUGGCAACAGCGGACCAAGAUAGAUGGCUGUCUGAAAAACAGAACCCGGCUUACAGGCUUGCUCA
This 344-nucleotide RNase P RNA is filed under the name uncultured Anaerotignum sp. RNAcentral's name for it is "Bacterial RNase P class A". It matches the Rfam family "Bacterial RNase P class A". From Rfam's summary of the family: Ribonuclease P (RNase P) is a ubiquitous endoribonuclease, found in archaea, bacteria and eukarya as well as chloroplasts and mitochondria. The record is from RNAcentral. Lineage: Bacteria; Bacillati; Bacillota; Clostridia; Lachnospirales; Anaerotignaceae.